Molecule: long non-coding RNA, 1128 nt
Organism: Panicum hallii
Lineage: Eukaryota; Viridiplantae; Streptophyta; Magnoliopsida; Poales; Poaceae
Exons: 4
Source: RefSeq, a predicted model, not a curated record
UCAACUUGGUGCCAAGGGACCUGGGUCGUUCGGGUAACCCAACCCCAAUCUUCCUGGCCGGGACGCCACCGCCGGCGGCAGCCUCUCGCCGCUCGACGCCCCUCCCUCGGUUCCUGCCUGCCUGCGACGCCCUCCCUCCGUUCCUCUUGGAGACCUUGCCACCGCCCGCCUGUCUGAUUUCUCUCUCUCCCUCUCAGAUCCGAGCACCCAGCCUAAUGUGAUCGAAACUUCCUGUUGGGUGCGGCGGCGGCUGCGGCGCGGCGGCCACAAGCAGGUCGGCCGGGGACGCCAGGUCCGACCCCUCCUCGCCGUCCCAGACCGCGACGGCCGCGCCCGUGCCCUCGAGCUCGGCGGCGGCGGCUGCCAUGGUGGAGGACGGCGGCAGCCACCUCAGCGCCGGCUUGCCGAUGCAGGGGUCUGCGCUUGUACUCGAGGGACCGGCGUCCGCUCUUCUCCCAGCCCAACAGCAUCCUUCCUCGAUCCAGGCUGCUGUCAGACCCGUACGUCGUCGUCCGCAGGCUGAGCACAGCAUGGAGAGAUCUCCUGUGGCUACCCCUCCAGAAAAUGAGGAUUGGCUCUCUAGUGGUUCUCCGUCAGCAAGGACUCUGGUGGUGGAGGUCAUGAUGCUGUUGCCUAGAAUUUCUCCAAGAGACAAGCAGACUAGAGUUUCCACAACUGAUUUGGCAAGAAUUAACCGGGCCAAGCGAGCAAGGUUUAUAAAAUUUCAAUACCUACCAACCUAGGAAGUGAUCAUGUAGUGGAUCAUAUCGAAGAUCAUUUAGACCUUUCUUCACUGGCAUGACAACCAGCUUUACAUGCUAAGGGCGCUGGUCCCUCCAACAUCCAGCCGGAGCAGAGUUCCCCUUCCCCUCCAACAUCCAGCUGGGGCAGUAGUAGGAUAAAGUCAAGGUCCAUGCAUGGUGGAUAAAGUCAGGGUCCAGCCUAUCAAGGCAUACUAUGAUUAUGAUUUAGCUCAUUGUUCGAGCAGAUUGAUUAUUUAUGUGUUAUACUUUUGCUCAGUGUAAUAACAAAAUUGUUUUGCCUUGUUGGGACCAUACACAACCGUGCAGACGUGUGUAAGUAUAUUUUUUAUUGAGGCAGCAAAGUCGUUGCCAUUUUGUUGCGUAA